GUGAAUCAUCGAAUUUUUGAACGCAAAUUGCACUCUCUUCGGAGAGUAUGCCUGUUUGAGGGUCAGCCUAAAAAAAAAUCGACAUCGUUGCUGUUUCGCGGUGGCGUUCGUCGGAAAUUGGGUUAUCUUAAAUCUUUGGUUUAAGCGACUUAAAAUUUUCUUUACGAUUCCAUGAACGUGUCUAAGAAUUUCUUGUACGUUCGCGACAUCGAAAUCAUAUUAGGGGCGACCGCCGCGUCGGGUUCGCUCCCAUAAUGUAUCAUCUAAGGACCUCAGACAGGUAAGAGUACCCGCUGAACUU
This 301-nucleotide unclassified non-coding RNA is filed under the name Glomus sp. Its description in RNAcentral is "partial contains 5.8S ribosomal RNA, internal transcribed spacer 2, and large subunit ribosomal RNA". The stretch from base 1 to 65 matches the Rfam family "5.8S ribosomal RNA", at positions 84 to 154 of the family's 154-position model. The record is from RNAcentral. Lineage: Eukaryota; Fungi; Glomeromycota; Glomeromycetes; Glomerales; Glomeraceae.